UUGCAAUGUAAUGUAUUCACAUGGCGGCCGUUUUCCUCUGUUAACGUGCUCAGGGCGGUAAGCGUGAAUGCUGGGAUAGCUUUAUGCUGCUCAGUUCUAGCUUGCUAGGCGUAUAAACAUAGGGAUUCUGACAAACUGUUAUCAUUUCACCACUUCCCAAUUGACCAGCAACAGAAAAGAUGACGGACAGUGGAAAUCUGGAGGGACAUCAGGCCACAUUUCAAGUACCUGUGAUGUUUGCUGACCCCAGUUCGGUGAAAGACAACACAAUGGAUGUUGGUGUAGCCUCUCCAGGAGCAACACACUUCUUCCUGUGAUUUUUCUUUGGCACACAUGAAGUCACCGGCAACUUCUCUUCACUUGGGACGAAGGGCGGGUCCUUUACCUGGUCGUGGGUCGAGAGUGCAUGGCGGCCACUAAGGUGGAGGUGUGCGGCUGGAAGGCGGGAACAGCCUCGUCUGUGUACAUGCCUCCAGUCUGCCGGUGGUUUAAACUCACCAUGUCUGUCAUCACAACCAGCCCUGUUUCCUGAGUUAAACAUACAGAGAAAAUAAAAACAAACACAUGCAUUAAAGAUUA
This is a long non-coding RNA of Acanthopagrus latus (yellowfin seabream), 579 nucleotides long. RefSeq lists it as uncharacterized. Lineage: Eukaryota; Metazoa; Chordata; Actinopteri; Spariformes; Sparidae. The transcript is spliced from 4 exons. The record is from RefSeq and is a predicted model, not a curated record.